Molecule: long non-coding RNA, 5705 nt
Filed under: Cicer arietinum (chickpea)
Lineage: Eukaryota; Viridiplantae; Streptophyta; Magnoliopsida; Fabales; Fabaceae
Description: long non-coding RNA (CARI_LNC001171)
Source: RNAcentral
AUACAUAAAAGCUCAAACAAUUAAACUGAUUCUUUUCACUUUCUCGCAAGUUCGGAAACCUUUCCUUCACUUUCUCAUCAUCCAAACACCAAAACCAUCAACAACCAUGACAACAAUCAGUCUCCGGAAGGGAAACACACGUCUUCCACCGGAAGUUAACCGCGUCCUCUACGUUCGCAACCUUCCCUUCAACAUAACAAGCGAAGAAAUGUACGAUAUAUUCGGCAAAUACGGUGCUAUUCGUCAGAUCCGAAUCGGAACUAACAAAGACACGCGCGGCACCGCUUUUGUCGUUUACGAAGACAUUUACGACGCUAAAACUGCCGUCGAUCAUCUCUCUGGUUUCAAUGUCGCUAAUCGAUAUCUCAUCGUUCUUUAUUAUCAGCAUGCUAAGAUGAGUAAGAAGUUUGAUCAGAAGAAGAAGGAAUUUCGUAAAUUUUAUUGACAUUAAAAAAAUAAGUUAACUUAAAAAAAAUUUACAAUAAAAAAAUUUAAAAAAUCUAAUUAUAACUUAACUUAAAAAUUAAUUUCUUAUAAGCUCUAUGUUAUCGAUGAAAAGUAUGACUCCAACACCAUGCCUUUUUUUUUGAAUUCUACAAAGAAUCUUUUUUCUUUCCAAAAAAUUUAUUAUAAAAUAAUAUUUUUAAUUUUAAACAAAUAAAAAUAAUAAUUAUUAAAAAAAAUUAAAUAAUUAGAUUAGAUGAAAUAAGAAUUUUUAAAACAAUGGACAUGGACAUAUAUAAAAUAAAUUAUUAUUUUUCUCUUCAAUAUUCUGGAAAUUUAAUUGGAUUCAUGGCUAAGAAGCUUAAAUAAAUUUUAUAUUUACUUAAAUAAAUUAUUAUUUUUUAUUUAAUAUAACUAUGUGCCAACACCAUUUAUUAACUAUUUAUGAGAGAAUUUAAGAGAAUAGAAAUAGAGUUAGUAAGACAAAUCUUAUAUAAGAGAAUAGAAAUAGAGUUAGUAAGAGAAAUCUUGUAUAAGAGAAUAGAAAUAUAAAUAUACAAAUGUACAAUUUGUUGACUAUUUAUUAGUGAAUUUAAAAUCGGAGUUAUUAAGACAAAUGUUAUAUAAGAGAAUAGAAAUUUACAUAUACACAUUUACAAUUUUUUGAGACAAAAUUAAGAAACAUAAACAAUACAAAAUAUAUAUACAUAACAAAAUAGUAAUCUUUUUUUAUAAAUAAAAUAAAAUAACAAUGAUAGAUUGAAAAAAAUUUACCAUUCAAGUAAUUCGUGUGAACAUAUACUCCAGAAAGUUGCUAGACGCAACACGAACAAAUACAUAGUUUCACCAGGAAUACUCUAUUGCAUAAAGGUCGAUGGAACAAUGUAGGCAAGGGAAGUCGGCAAAAUGGAUCCGUAACCUCGGGAAAAUGAUUGACUUUGACGGCUGGCUAUGGAUUUAAAGAUGUUGUUGUUAGAAAUAGAAAUAUGAAUUUAUUUAAAUAAUAAUUAGUUUUUUCUUGAUUUUGUUUGAAGAUAAUGAUGAAUUUUUUAGAUUUUUAUAAAAAAUAUAUUAUUGACAUUUUAAAAUAUACUUAUUUAAAAUUAAAUAAAUAAUUAAUUAAAAAAUAAAAAUUAUUAUUAAAAUUAAUUUAAAAAAGUGCGAAAGUACUUUGUGGAUAAAAUAAUAAAGACACUUGAGCAAGUCUUCAAUACCAAAGUCUUGCUGGAGAGAAGUUAUAUUGAGUAUUGACUUUGAUUUGACAAUUAAGUUAUAUUUUGAGUGUUUACUUUGAUUUGACAAGUUUUUAUCAGGUUACUUCGCGAGAGAUGUCAUCUUCUCGUAUUUUUUCUCCUUUUUUUUUUCCUUUGAUUUUUAAGAUCCGAAUUUUUUUUUAUUGGACUCGGGUUUUUGGGGUGGCUGGUAGAGUCGCAAUUCAACGCAUAAUUUACUUACCCAUAUCACCCACGCGAAUAACAUAUUAAUUAUUUUUAUUUUUAUUAUUAUUAUUAUUAUUAUAUAAAAAUAUUUGUAUAUAUAUUUAUAUACAACACAAAAGUAUCAAUAAAAAUAUAGAUUUUAUCAUACUAAUAAUAUUUAUAUUACUAAUUUAAAUAUACAAAUAAAAGUUUAAAAAAAUUUAGCUAAAUUAACUAUUUUUAAGUUUUUAGGUGGAAUAAAAAAGUUCCAUAUAUAUAUAUAUAUAUAUAUAUAUAUAUAUAUAUAUAUAUAUAUAUAUAGAGAGAAUCAAUAUAAUUUUUGGAUAAUUUAAAUUCUUUAAUUUAUUAUUUUUACAAUUUAAUAUUAAGUAACCUUGAAUAUUUUUUUAAUUGUGUUGAAAUAAUAUAGCAUUUUAUUAUUUAACAAUUUAUUUUAAUUAUAAUAUUGGUACAAGGUACGCAAAGGAUUACUAAGUACAUAAAUAAUAAAUAUACGAAGAUUAAGAUUAAUUCUCGUAUAAAUCUGGUGUAUAUGGAGUCAUGUUUUUCAUCAAUAAAUUAGAUUGACCUGUUUUUAAAUUAGAUUUAAGAUUAGAUUUUUUUACUGUAAAUUAUUUUUUUAAUUAAUAAAUUAAUAUAACAAUUUUUUUAUUAAAAUAGUUUCCGUACGAAGCACGGAUUACCUAGUAAUUUAAUAUUAUUUUUUAGAUUUCAAACUUAAUUUUUUAUUUUAAUGAAGACGAUAUAGAGUUAAUUGGCGAUACUUAAAUCCAACUUUUCCAAUUUAAAAGUUCAUCUCCAUACGAGAUUUGUAGGCCCAACCCAAAGCCCAACCCAACAUGAUCUAUAUACAUAAAAGCUCAAACAAUUAAACUGAUUCUUUUCACUUUCUCGCAAGUUCGGAAACCUUUCCUUCACUUUCUCAUCAUCCAAACACCAAAACCAUCAACAACCAUGACAACAAUCAGUCUCCGGAAGGGAAACACACGUCUUCCACCGGAAGUUAACCGCGUCCUCUACGUUCGCAACCUUCCCUUCAACAUAACAAGCGAAGAAAUGUACGAUAUAUUCGGCAAAUACGGUGCUAUUCGUCAGAUCCGAAUCGGAACUAACAAAGACACGCGCGGCACCGCUUUUGUCGUUUACGAAGACAUUUACGACGCUAAAACUGCCGUCGAUCAUCUCUCUGGUUUCAAUGUCGCUAAUCGAUAUCUCAUCGUUCUUUAUUAUCAGCCAAUGUCGCUAUCGAUAUCUCAUCGUUCUUUAUUAUCAGCAUGCUAAGAUGAGUAAGAAGUUUGAUCAGAAGAAGAAGGAAGAUGAAAUUGCUCGUAUGCAGGAGAAGUACGGUGUUACUACUAAAGACAAGUAGUUCAUGAUACGUAAGCGCUUCUUUCGAAAACUCGAUUUAUUUUGCUAAUUUCUAGGGUUUCUUGUGUUAGGGUUUUGUGGUAAUUCACUAUAUAUAACUGUUGAUGGAUGUUUGGAUUCGCAAUUGAAUAGUUUUAUUGAUAUAUCAAUGUAAAGCACGAUUAUGAUGUAUGAUAUUGUUACUUUUCUGCUAGCACUACUUAUUUAAGAAAAAGUGAUUAUUCAAUUUUGAGGACUGGAAUUUAAUUUUUCCUGCAUGAGAUGUUUAUUAGGUUUACUUGAUGCUAAUUUCUUCAAGGGUAAUUAGGUAGUUUCGUUGCUUUGUGAGUUUGUUGUACUAGGAUGUUUGGAUUGUGGAGAUUGCUAAGGGUGAGGUUAUUAAGACAAAUGUUAUAUAAGAGAAUAGAAAUUUACAUAUACACAUUUACAAUUUUUUGAGACAAAAUUAAGAAACAUAAACAAUACAAAAUAUAUAUACAUAACAAAAUAGUAAUCUUUUUUUAUAAAUAAAAUAAAAUAACAAUGAUAGAUUGAAAAAAAUUUACCAUUCAAGUAAUUCGUGUGAACAUAUACUCCAGAAAGUUGCUAGACGCAACACGAACAAAUACAUAGUUUCACCAGGAAUACUCUAUUGCAUAAAGGUCGAUGGAACAAUGUAGGCAAGGGAAGUCGGCAAAAUGGAUCCGUAACCUCGGGAAAAUGAUUGACUUUGACGGCUGGCUAUGGAUUUAAAGAUGUUGUUGUUAGAAAUAGAAAUAUGAAUUUAUUUAAAUAAUAAUUAGUUUUUUCUUGAUUUUGUUUGAAGAUAAUGAUGAAUUUUUUAGAUUUUUAUAAAAAAUAUAUUAUUGACAUUUUAAAAUAUACUUAUUUAAAAUUAAAUAAAUAAUUAAUUAAAAAAUAAAAAUUAUUAUUAAAAUUAAUUUAAAAAAGUGCGAAAGUACUUUGUGGAUAAAAUAAUAAAGACACUUGAGCAAGUCUUCAAUACCAAAGUCUUGCUGGAGAGAAGUUAUAUUGAGUAUUGACUUUGAUUUGACAAUUAAGUUAUAUUUUGAGUGUUUACUUUGAUUUGACAAGUUUUUAUCAGGUUACUUCGCGAGAGAUGUCAUCUUCUCGUAUUUUUUCUCCUUUUUUUUUUCCUUUGAUUUUUAAGAUCCGAAUUUUUUUUUAUUGGACUCGGGUUUUUGGGGUGGCUGGUAGAGUCGCAAUUCAACGCAUAAUUUACUUACCCAUAUCACCCACGCGAAUAACAUAUUAAUUAUUUUUAUUUUUAUUAUUAUUAUUAUUAUUAUAUAAAAAUAUUUGUAUAUAUAUUUAUAUACAACACAAAAGUAUCAAUAAAAAUAUAGAUUUUAUCAUACUAAUAAUAUUUAUAUUACUAAUUUAAAUAUACAAAUAAAAGUUUAAAAAAAUUUAGCUAAAUUAACUAUUUUUAAGUUUUUAGGUGGAAUAAAAAAGUUCCAUAUAUAUAUAUAUAUAUAUAUAUAUAUAUAUAUAUAUAUAUAUAUAUAUAGAGAGAUAAUUAAUUUUUGUUUUGUUUUAAUUCUAUUAAUAUUGUUAAAUCAAAUAAAUAGUUACAUAAAGAUCAAUAUAAUUUUUGGAUAAUUUAAAUUCUUUAAUUUAUUAUUUUUACAAUUUAAUAUUAAGUAACCUUGAAUAUUUUUUUAAUUGUGUUGAAAUAAUAUAGCAUUUUAUUAUUUAACAAUUUAUUUUAAUUAUAAUAUUGGUACAAGGUACGCAAAGGAUUACUAAGUACAUAAAUAAUAAAUAUACGAAGAUUAAGAUUAAUUCUCGUAUAAAUCUGGUGUAUAUGGAGUCAUGUUUUUCAUCAAUAAAUUAGAUUGACCUGUUUUUAAAUUAGAUUUAAGAUUAGAUUUUUUUACUGUAAAUUAUUUUUUUAAUUAAUAAAUUAAUAUAACAAUUUUUUUAUUAAAAUAGUUUCCGUACGAAGCACGGAUUACCUAGUAAUUUAAUAUUAUUUUUUAGAUUUCAAACUUAAUUUUUUAUUUUAAUGAAGACGAUAUAGAGUUAAUUGGCGAUACUUAAAUCCAACUUUUCCAAUUUAAAAGUUCAUCUCCAUACGAGAUUUGUAGGCCCAACCCAAAGCCCAACCCAACAUGAUCUAUAUACAUAAAAGCUCAAACAAUUAAACUGAUUCUUUUCACUUUCUCGCAAGUUCGGAAACCUUUCCUUCACUUUCUCAUCAUCCAAACACCAAAACCAUCAACAACCAUGACAACAAUCAGUCUCCGGAAGGGAAACACACGUCUUCCACCGGAAGUUAACCGCGUCCUCUACGUUCGCAACCUUCCCUUCAACAUAACAAGCGAAGAAAUGUACGAUAUAUUCGGCAAAUACGGUGCUAUUCGUCAGAUCCGAAUCGGAACUAACAAAGACACGCGCGGCACCGCUUUUGUCGUUUACGAAGACAUUUACGACGCUAAAACUGCCGUCGAU